RNAcentral lists this transfer RNA (81 nucleotides) under Cordylochernes scorpioides. Its description in RNAcentral is "tRNA-Thr". Lineage: Eukaryota; Metazoa; Arthropoda; Arachnida; Pseudoscorpiones; Chernetidae. The record is from RNAcentral.
AUAAAAGCGUCCAGGGAUGGGAAUCGAACCCACAAUGUUCCGCUUACCGGGCAGAUGCCAUGUCCACUGAGCUACCCUUCA